UCUGUACACAAUUUACUGCUCAUUGUUGCAGCAAUGAACACUUCUAGUUUCCAAAUCCAGAGUUAACACACCCAGAUGCUGCUAAUUUUGAAGCAAUCAGGGCAAUCAGUUUAAAUCCAUUCUGUUUUUCAAAUUGUACGAACAUAUUGAACCAUACACAAUUUCCUGUACAUUGUGUCGCAGUUAAACAAGCUUGGCACACCUGUAUUAGGGGAGUUUAUCCCAUUCUCUGCAAAUCCUCUAAAGCUCUGUCAGGUUGGAUGGUGAGUGUUGCUGCACAGCUAUUUUCAGGUCUCUCCAGAGAUGUUCGAUCGGGUUCAAGUCCAGGCUCUGGCUGGGCCACUCAAGGACUUGUCCCGAAGCCCCUCCUGCAUUGUCUUGGCUGUGUGCUUAGGGUCCUUGUCCUGUUGGAAGGUGAACCUUCGCCACAGUCUGAGGUCCUGAGCGCUCUGGAGCAGGUUUUCAUCAAGGAUCUCUGUACUUUGCUCCGUUCAUCUUUGCCUCGAUCUUCACUAGUCUCCCAGUCCUUGCCCCUGAAAAACUUCCCCACAGCAUGAUGCUGCCACCACCAUGCUUCACCGUAGGGAUGGUGCCAGGUUUCCUCCAGAUGUGACACUUGGCAUUCAGGCCAAAGAGUUCAAUCUUAGUUUCAUCAGACCAGAGAAUCUUGUUUCUCAUGGUCUGAGAGUCUUGAGGUACCUUUUGGCAACUCCAAGCGGGCUGUCAUGUGCCUUUUACUGAGGAAUGGCUUCCGUCUGGCCACUCUACCAUAAAGGCCUGAUUGGUGGAAUGCUGCAGAGAAGGAUGUCCUUCUGGAAGGUUCUCCCAUCUCCACAGAGGAACUCUAGAGCUCUGUCAGAGUGACCAUCAGGUUCUUUGUCACCUCCCUGACCAAGGCCCUUUUCCCCCCGAUUGCUCAAAUUGGCCGGGCGGCCAGCUCUAGGAAGAGUCUUGGUAGUUCCAAACAUCUUCCAUUUAAGAAUGAUGGAGGCCACUGUGUUGUUGGGGACCUUCAAUGCUGCAGAAAUGUUUUGGUACCCUUCCCCAGAUCUGUGCCUGGACACAAUUCUGUCUUGGAGCUCAACAAACAAAUCCUUCGACCUCAUGGCUUGGUUUUUGCUCUGACGUGCACUGUCAACUGCGGGACCUUAAAUAGACAGGUGUGUGCCUUUCCAAAUCAUGUCCAAUCAAAUGAAUUUACCACAGGUGAACUCCAAUCAAGUUGUAGAAACAUCUCAAUGAUGAUCAAUGGAAACAGGAUGCACCUCCAGAUGACAAACUCCAAGGGAGUGUGUGUGCAUGUUGUAUUUUCUUUUUCCUUGUCAGCCACCAUCUCUCCUAACCAUGACCUCUCCACCAACUGGCAAUAAACAUUAGCCUGCCACUUCUGGGAACCCUGUUCACAUGUGAGUGCUGUUGAGGCCCUGUUUCAGCUCCAGAUGACAAAAACCUGCACAUACUCCCAGAGAGUUGCAGGUCUGCCGACUUCCUUUUGGUCAUUCAUUUUAAUCAGAGAAGUAUCUAAUAAACCAAACUGUUGCUUUAACUGUGAAUGUACUUUAUUGCACACAAUCCCCAAAUAAAAUGGAACAUACAUAAAAUAAACAAUGUAUUUACAUUGGGUCUAAUGUGUGUUUUCUCUUAGAGUGAGGCCUGUUUUUCGACACAGAACAUUUACACAAUAGUCUUAUACAAUAUUAACAGUCACACUUUUAUUGGAUAGAUAUUUAGAGUAAUUAUGUAGAUAUUGAUAAUGGAUAUGUAGUCGUAGAUAUCUCCAAUCCUAAUAUAAAAUGGAACGGAGAGUGUGUGUGCAUGUUGUGUUUUAUUUUUCCUUGUCAACCACCCAUCUCUGCUUUGUCAGUCUUGCCAGGCCCAGGGUAUGCACUUCUGUGUGAGGCUGUCGGGCAAUGGUGGAGUGCAUGGCAGAUCUGAAAGAGAGAUGCACAAAGUGACAGUGGUGGUUCUGGUGGUGGACUACAGGUGCUGGUGCACCCCCUAGGGAGUGUGGUCUACCCUUUUUAUCCUCUUACAGCAAAUGGGAGGAUAAGUGGCAGCACGGGCCCUCCAUUUGGAGUGGUUCCAAUUUUAACAAGAAUGACGGUGUUGCCAUUUUAAUCAAGAACCCACAGGUGGUGGUAGGUGGGCAUGCUCUUCUAGCCAAUUGCACUUUCAUGGGGAGGGAUUUUAAUGUGCUAAAUGUUUAUGGUUUUAAUGACAAACAUGACCGGUGCGCACUUUUAGAAGACCUGCAGUCCCACAUGCUAAGGAGGGAUCCUCUAGUGGUGGGUGGGGAUUUGAACUGUGUUUUAAGUAGAGCAGACAGGAGAGGAUUUUAAGGUAGAUAGGUCAAGUGUUUAUUGCAAGGGUUGUGCAGGGAAUUUAAACUGACUGACUGUACAACCCUGCAUCCAAGAGAGGAGGGCUACUCCUGAACCAGUGGUGACGGCACCAGAGCCUCUCUCAUUGACUAUUUGUUUACCCGGGACUGUCCCCCAACUGAUGCUAGAAUAACCCCUGCUUUCUUCUCAGAUCACGUAAUGCUGACGUGCACCCUUUCACUAACUUUGGGUGUGACUGUGGGAAGAGGGCCCUGGAAAUUGAACUGCUCCCUUUUAGAAGAUGAUAGAGUAGUUAGUCAGUACAGGGAGCAGUUCAGCCAGUGGCAGACGCUACAGGACUUCUUUGACAUACGAGCACAGUGGUGGGAAAUGGUGAAGGGAAGGACGAUGAACUUCUUUAGAGAGAUAGGAAAGAAAAAAAGCUGAGAAAAAGAUAGACGCAUGGUGGGACUGCAAAAGCGACUGGAAAGGUAUUUUAACCUAUGCCAACAGGGCCUUGAUUUUAACCAUGAAAUUAAAGUAGUAAGAAAGGAAAUGGCACUUUUAGCAGAACAGAGAAGCAAGAGGGUUAUUUUAAGAAGUAAGGAAAGGGAAUUAGAAGAGGGGGAGAAGUGCACUAGGUACUUUUUAAAGAAAAUAGUUAGUAAAGGUAGAACAAUGAUAGGGUUAAAAAAUAAAGAUGGGCUUUUAAAAACAGAUACAAAAGGAAUAAAGGAAGUGCUCGAGGAUUUUUAUGGGGUACUGUUUGGAGUAAAGGAUGUGUGUGAGGAAACAAUGGGGGACCUUUUUACAUAACAAGACAGAAAUCGACCAAGGACUGAAACAUUUUAAGAGGGGUAAAUCACCGGGGGAGGAUGGCCUCCCUUUGGAGUUUUAUCUGACCUUUUCAGAUGUUUUAGCCGACGAACUUCUGACUGUUUUUACUGACUUUGAACAUCUUGACAGACUACCUGACAGUUUUAGAGUGGUGAUCGUGACUCUUUUAUAUAAGAAAAACGACAGGACGGACCUGAAGAACUGGAGACCGAUAACCCUUUUAAACUUUGAUUGUCAACUUUUUACCAAGGUUUUAACACUCAGAAUGUCUUCUGUUUUAGGGGAGGUGAUCCACCCGGACCAAACCUGUGCCGUUCCCGGAAUGAAGAUCACGGACAGCCUGAUACUGAUCCGAGAUGCCAUCUGUUAUGCGAGAGACAGAAACAUGCGGCUUGUAGUCCUAAAUUUAGAUUUUGAAAAAGCCUUUGAUCGGGUCUCGCACCGGUACUGCAAAAAUGGGUUUCCCAGACAGGUUCUUAGCACGGGUAGGACUGCUGUACAUUACCAGCAAAAUCCUUGUAAAUGAGCAUCUGUCAAAAGCAGUGGGAGUACACUGCGGCGUCCAUCAGGGCUGUCCGUUAUCUCCUCUUCUGUUCGUGGCCUGUAUUGAACCACUGGCACAGGUCUUGAGAAGGGACCAACGGAUCAGUGGGGUGGGUAUCCCGGGGAGUGGGGGGGAUGACUGCCAAGUGCGUUUUUUACAUGGACGCGUCAACAUUUUAUGUACCGACCUUUUAUCCGUCGACAGGACCCUGGACAGGACUGACUGGUACAGACGAGCCUCUGGGGAGAGACUGAACAGAGACAAGACAGAGGCCCAAUUUUUCGGACCGUGGGCAGACCCAGACUUGACCAGACUACCACUGACGGUUAAACCGACGGACAUAAGGGUAUUGGGGGUAAAGUUUGACCGGGAGGGAGGAGGGAGCGGAAAUUAAAGUGGGAUCCUGGGGACAGUAAGACAGAGACUGGAUUUUUGGGGACUACGACAGCUGACUUUUGAGGGCAAGGUUUUAAUCGUUAAAGCUGUGAUUUUACCUGUGCUUUUACUAAUCAGUUCUGUUUUUAUCCCCCUCGAAGGAGUAUUUUAGCCCUGGAGCGGAUGCUUUUUUACUUCCUGUGGGGAAGCAAGUGGGAGAGGCUGAGGAGGGAGGUGGUCAAGAGGCCCAGGUCCAAGGGGGGUAAAGGCUUGCCUGACCUCUACUUGUUCCUGGGAAGCCGCUACACAGCGUUACAUCUGACUCUUGCCACCUCCCCGGUCAACAACAAGACCCAGGCCCUCGCACGGUUCUGGCUGGGAUCUUACCUCAGGACUCUUGAGGCUGAUCCCAGUCGACCUGCGAGCCCCAGUCUCUUUCCUGCUCCCCACUCACUAUGCCCAGCUCCAGAAAUGUUUAAGACAUUUUCAACUGGAAAAGGAAGCAGUCACAGUUUUAACUAAACACCGCUCUCUUCUCUCUCUUGUGCAGGAUCGGGAACCAGUGUGUCCAUUACGCGGGCUUGCUAUAGGCGAGCCCACAACGGUUUGGCGUAACGUGGCCCAUACUGCUCUCCUGAAUUGGCAUCAGGACCUGUCCUGGAUGGUCGCCCACGAGAUCCUCCCGGUCAGGGCCGUUAUGCACUCACGGGGCAUGGCGAAGACAUCCGCGUGCCCCCAACCAGGCUGCGGCCAAGAAGAGUCGAUGAGGCACCUGCCCUGUGAGUGCAGAGCUGCCAGGGACCUGUGGAAGGAAGCAGGCCCCCUGAUCACCCCGUGUCUGCAGGGGAGGACCUAACACCUCAGCUCGUGCUCUAUGGGGUGGGCCGAAGGCCUAUUCCAUUGAAGGCCUUCACCAAGUUCUGGCCCACCCUCACGUGCCUGAAGGAAGCACUGUGGUCCUCCCGUAAUUUGCUGGUAGCGAAACAAGUAGACACCACCCCCCAGGCAGCGGCCAUGGUAGCCACGGAAGCCCUGGGUGGUACGGAAGGAAGGGGUCCUCGACCCCAGGCGAAGGGUCCCCCACAACACCCUAGGUCCCGGCGGCCACGGCCUGACAGCGCUGCAGCUGUCAGGCCGUGCUCCAUCUCCGGCCUCUUCAACGGUUGUUCAACUCCCACCGGCGGCACCCAAAGCGCCACCGUCAUCACCAGCUGCGGGUGACUGCACAGUGCCUCAAGGCAUUGUUGAGGUGGCGCUGUCGCUCCUUUCUCUCAGGUGGGUUGGAGAUGCUGAGGAUGUGCCGCCAGGAGCUGGUCAGCACAGACGCCUCCAAGAGCAGGUCAGCGGCUGUUGGCCACCCCCUUGGAGAGACAGGCACAUCAAUACACUAGAGCUGUACUGCUGGCCCUGGGGUCUUUCCUUCCACAUCUGAAAGGAAGACAUGUACUGGUGAGAACAGACAACACCACAGUGGUGGCUUACAUCAACCAUCAGGGUGGACUACAGUCCCACCGCCUCCAUCUUAUGGCACGGGAGCUCCUUCUCUGGGCUCAGGGCUGUCUAGCGUCUCUAUGCACAGCGCACAUACCUGACAUCCUGAGUGUGGCAGCGGAUAUGCUAUCGAGGGAGGGUCCGCCACUUUGGGACUGGAGCCUACAUCCCCAGGUGGUGCAGCACCUGUGGGAAGGUUCGGGAGUGCUCGGGUGGACCUGUUUUCUCCCUGGACAAUGCACACUGCCCCCUGUGGUACUCCAUGUCAGAGUCUUCAGGGCCUCUGGGCUUGGAUGCUCUGGCUCAGCAUGUGGAACCUCAGUAGGGCUGGAGCUUUAUGCAUUCCCCCCUUUUCCUCUGAUCCAGGCUGUGCUGGACAGGACUAGGAUGGCAGAGCAUUGUCUGCUUCUGGUGGCCCCUUUCUGGCCCAGGCGACCUUGGUUCAGCCUUCUCCUUUCCCUGUUGUCUGGGACAUCUUGUCAAGUUCCCCUGCGACCGAACUUGCUGUCUCAGGCCGGGGGAACUCUGUGGUAUCCAAGACCACACUGUCUCAGUCAGUGGGCUUGGCCACUGAAUGGCACCAAUGAUCCAUGUUAGGACUACAGCAGGGUGACAUGAACACCAUGCAGAGCGCAAGGGCGCUGGCUACAACCGCAGUGAAAACAGACCAGCUCUUUGUCUGCUAUGGUGAACAAGUCCUACGGGCUGGGCUAUCAAAGCAGAGGCUCUCUGACUGGAUCGUGGACACGAUUAUGACAGCAUACCACCUGGCUGGCAUAACAGUGCUGGGAUCUGUGGUGCCACAUUCAACACGACGUGUGGCUGCAUCCUGGGCUCUACUGAGGGGAGUGCCACUCGCUGAGAUCUGUGCUGCGGCCAGCUGGGCUUCCUCUUGCACCUUUGCUAGGUACUUUUGGGUAAAUGUGGCACCUCCCUCUGCGUUUGGUUCAGCUGUCCUGGCCGUCGCCUCCCCUUCCGGGGACUGUGCCGGGACCCCCUUCCACAUUGACAGCCCCUGCGUCUCAGUCCCGCGCUGGGACUUCUUCGCAGGCUGGCCAGGUCCCUCUAGCACCAACUAAUCUGGUACGUGUAUACCAAUAUAUUGGAGUGAUCCAAUAUAGUGAAACAUAACAAAGGUUACGUAUAUAACCACGGUUAUGUGAGCUAUAUGGAUCACUCCAAUCCUCUAUAGUGCUAGAGGCGCCUCAAAAAUGAUGUAGAGAACGUGUCACGGCCAUAUAUAGGGGCGUACCACCACCAGCCGUGACACAGGUGUACACAGGAGUAAAUCUGUAAAUAGUCACCUCGGAUGUAUCCCUCCGCCACGGAGUGAUACCAAUAUAUUGGAGUGAUCCAUAUAAAUUCAGCAAAAAAAGAAACAGCCCUUUUUCAUGACCCUGUCUUUCAAAGAUAAUUUGUAAAAAUCCAAAAGAUAUUCAUUGUGAAGGGUUUAAACACUGUUUCCUAUGCUUGUUCAAUGACCCAUAAACAAUGAAUGAACAUGCACCUGUGAAACGGUCGUUAACACUAACAGCUUACAGACGGUAGGCAAUUAAGGUCACACUUAUGAAAACUUAGGACACUAGAGGCCUUUCUACUGACUCUGAAAAACACCAAAAGAAAGAUGCCCAGGGUCCCUGCUUAUCUGUGUGAACGUGCCUUAGGCAUGCUGCAAGGAGGCAUGAGGACUGCAGAUGUGGCCAGGGCAAUAAAUUGCAAUGUCCGUACUGUGAGACGCCUAAGACAGCGCUACAGGGAGACCGGAUGGACAGCCGAUCGUCCUCGCAGUGGCAGACCACGUGUAACAACACCUGCACAGGAUCCGAACAUCUGAACAUCACACCUGCGGGACGGGUACAGGAUGGCAACAACUGCCCGAGUUACACCAGGAACGCACAAUCCCUUCAUCAGUGCUCAGACUGUCCGCAAUAGGCUGAGAGAGGCUACGCUGAGAGAGGCUACGCUGAGAGAGGCUACGCUGAGAGAGGCUGGGCUGAGAGAGGCUGGGCUGAGAGAGGCUGGGCUGAGGGCUUGUAGGCCUUUUGUAAGGCAGGUCCUCGCCAGACAUCACCGGCAACAACGUUGCCUAUGGGCACAAACCCACCAUCGCUGGACCAGACAGGACUGUCAAAAAGUGCUCUUCACUGACGAGUCACGGCUUUGUCUCACCAGGGGUGAUGGUCUUAUUUGCGUUCAUCAUCGAAGGAAUGAGCGUUACACCGAGGCCUGUACUCUGCAGCGGGAUCGAAUUGGAGGUGGAGGGUCCGUCAUGAUCUGGGGCGUGCGUCACAGCAUCAUCUGACUGAGCUUUUUGUCAUUGCCUGCAAUCUCAACGCAGUUCAUUACAGGGGAGACAUCCUCCUCGCUCAUGUGGUACCCUUCCUGCAAGCUCAUCCUGACAUGACCCUCCAGCAUGACAAUGCCACCAGCCAUACUGCUCGUUCUGUGCGUGAUUUCCUGCAAGAUAGAAAUGUCAGUGUUCUGCCAUGGCCAGCGAAGAGCCCGGAUCUCAAUCCCAUUGAGCAUGUCUGGGACCUGUUGGAUCGGAGGGUGAGGGCUAGGGCCAUACCCCCCAGAAAUGUCUGGGAACUUGCAAGUGCCUUGGUGGAAGAGUGGGGUAACAUCUCACAGCAAGAACUGGCAAAUCUGGUGCAGUCCAUGAGGAGAUGCACUGCAGUACUUAAUGCAGCUGGUGGCCACACCAGAUACUGACUUACUUUUGAUUCCCCCACCCUUUGUUCAGGGACACAUUACUCCAUUUCUGUUAGUCACAUGUCUGUGGAACUUUUUUCAGUUUAUGUCUGUUAUGUUCAUACAAAUAUUUACACAUGUUAAGUUUUGCUGAAAAUAAAUGCAGUUGAUAGUGAGAGAACGUUUCUUUUUUUGCUGAGUUUAGCUCACAUAACUGUGGUUUCAUAUGUAACCUUCGUUAGCUAGCGCCGUUGGCAUUAGCUAGCUAGCAGCGCCAGCAUGAUAGCUAUGAAAGUAUCUAUCCAGCAACAAUGUCAAGGUCAAAAAUGAAAAACUAUGUUGAGCCAUGCUGACAUCGUAAGAAGUCAAAUCGGACUGAAACAAUUAAGACUGAACGUACAUUUCUGUGACUAACUAGCUAACUUUAGCUCAGUGACCGGUGACGCACCUAUUCCUGUUUACAGAAUGUGCAUCCCUCCCCCUCCCAUGUCCUGCAUGGAGAAGCGCCACUGAGUCAACUUGUGGCCAGAAUUUUAUAUUACAUCCGGGUUGGUUUACAAACCUCGUUGACAAUGCAUGGGAAACUGUUUAGGGUCAUUUAGCUAAAGACCGCCCACUUUACCUAGUUCCAUUCUAAAGCAAUUGUGUUUUUGUUUCAGUUUCACAACUUCCGGCAACACUAGCAAAUUACCUCAGAGCGGCGACUUAACACAAAAGCAAAACAUGGCUUACGUUUGGGAACACACAUAUGGAUCUUCGGAGGUCGGAUGGUAUCACCGUAUCCCAUCCGUCCAUGAUUAAUACUUACUUGACAUGAUAAAAUUGCGUGAAGUUACGUAUGGGGAUUUUUUAUUACUUUGUGUUCUCCUUGGGAGUGGAUGGUUCCACUAUGAAAAAUUAGAAGAGUACAGAGGCAUAUCAGUAGGCUGGACACAACAUUUUUAAAAACACUUUUUUCUGAUAACUAGUUCAUUGCAUCCACCCCGCCGUGGAGCCCAGUUUCAUAAUAUUACUAUCUGUCCCAACUGUUUGCCGUAGUUGAAAAAACAGCACUUAUUUUAGGGCAUUUUUCACCCUGCCAGCUCCUGUUAGUUCUAUUGAGCACCGUGGCACCAACUGGCCUUCCGAGGAUUCUAUUCCCAACCUAUUGUUCUACGUCACAAUGCCUGCUUCGCAAUUGUUGGCAAAGAGACAUGCCCACGUUAAAAUCAUACACGGAACCCAAACCGGUGGCGCGUGCGCCAUCGUGCAUAAAUGCAUUUUGUCCCCCCAAACCAAACGCGAUCACGACAUGCAGGUUAAAAUAUCAAAACAAACUCUGAACCAAUUAUAUUAUUUUGGGGACAGGUCAAAAAGCAUUAAACAUUUAUGGCAAUUUUGCUAGCUUGCACUUGCUAGCUAGUUUGUCCUAUUUAGCUAGCUUGCUUUUGCUAACUAAUUUGUCCUGGGAUAUAAACAUUGAGUUGUUAUUUUACCUGAAAUGCACAAGGUCCUCUACUCCGCCAAUUAAUCCACACAUAAAACAGUCAACCGAAUCGUUUCUAGUCAUCUCUCCUCCUUCCAGGCUUUUUCUUCUCUUGACUUUAUAUUGCAAUUGGCAACUUUCAUAAAUUAGGUGCAUUACUGCCACUGACCUCGUUCGUCUUUCAGUCACCCACGUGGGUAUAACCAAUGAGGAGAUGGCACGUGGGUACCUGCUUCUAUAAACCAAUGAGGAGAUGGGAGAGGUAGGACUUGCAGCGCGAUCUGGGUUAGAAAUAGAACUGACUUCUAUUUUAGCCAUUGGCAACGCAGACGCUCAUUGGCGCGCACGUGCAGUGUGGGUGCAAUUUUUUAUUUAUUAUUUUAUUUAUUUCACCUUUAUUUAACCAGGUAGGCUAGUUGAGAACACGUUCUCAUUUGCAACUGCGACCUGGCCAAGAUAAGGCAUAGCAGUGUGAACAGACAACAGAGUUACACAUGGAGUAAACAAUUAACAAGUCAAUAACACAGUAGAAAAAAAAGAGAGUCUAUAUAUAUUGUGUGCAAAAGGCAUGAGGAGGUAGGCGAAUAAUUACAGUUUUGAAGAUUAACACUGGAGUGAUAAAUGGUCAGAUGGUCAUGUACAGGUAGAGAUAUUGGUGUGCAAAAGAGCAGAAAAGUAAAUAAAUGAAAUACAGUAUCGGGAUGAGGUAGGUAAAAUUGGGUGGGCCAUUUACCGAUAGACUAUGUACAGCUGCAGCGAUCGGUUAGCUGCUCAGAUAGCAGAUGUUUGAAGUUGGUGAGGGAGAUAAAAGUCUCCAACUUCAGAGAUUUUUGCAAUUCGUUCCAGUCACAGGCAGCAGAGAACUGGAAUGAAAGGCGGCCAAAUGAGGUGUUGGCUUUAGGGAUGAUCAGUGAGAUACACCUGCUGGAGCGCGUGCUACGGGUGGGUGUUGCCAUCGUGACCAGUGAACUGAGAUAAGGCGGAGCUUUACCUAGCAUGGACUUGUAGAUGACCUGGAGCCAGUGGGUCUGGCGACGAAUAUGUAGCGAGCCGGCCGACUAGAGCAUACAGGUCGCAGUGGUGGGUGGUAUAAGGUGCUUUAGUGACAAAACGGAUGGCACUGUGAUAAACUGCAUCCAGUUUGCUGAGUAGAGUGUUGGAAGCUAUUUUGUAGAUGACAUCGCCGAAGUCGAGGAUCGGUAGGAUAGUCAGUUUUACUAAGGUAAGUUUGGCGGCAUGAGUGAAGGAGGCUUUGUUGCGGAAUAGAAAGCCGUCUCUAGAUUUGAUUUUCGAUUGGAGAUGUUUGAUAUGAGUCUGGAAGGAGAGUUUACAGUCUAGCAAGACACCUAGGUACUUAUAGAUGUCCACAUAUUCAAGGUCGGAACCAUCCAGGGUGGUGAUGCUUGUCGGGCGUGCGGGUGCAGGCAGCGAACGGUUGAAAAGCAUGCAUUUGGUUUUACUAGCGUUUAAGUGCAGUUGGAGGCCACGGAAGGAGUGUUGUAUGGCAUUGAAGCUUGUUUGGAGGUUAGAUAGCACAGUGUCCAAGGACGGGCUGGAAGUAUACAGAAUGGUGUCGUCUGCGUAGAGGUGGAUCAGGGAAUCGCCCGCAGCAAGAGCAACAUCAUUGAUAUAUACAGAGAAAAGAGUUGGCCCGAGAAUUGAACCCUGUGGCACCCCCAUAGAGACUGCCAGAGGACCGGACAGCAUGCCCUCCGAUUUGACACACUGAACUCUGUCUGCAAAGUAGUUGGUGAACCAGGCAAGGUAGUCAUCAGAAAAACUGAGGCUACUGAGUCUGCCGAUAAGAAUAUGGUGAUUGACAGAGUUGAAAGCCUUGGCAAGGUCGAUGAAGACGGCUGCACAGUACCGUCUUUUAUCGAUGGCGGUUAUGAUAUCGUUUAGUACCUUGAGCGUGGCUGAGGUGCACCCGUGACCGGCUCGGAAACCAGAUUGCACCACGGAGAAGGUACGGUGGGAUUCGAGAUGGUCAGUGACCUGUUUGUUGACUUGGCUUUCGAAGACUUUAGAUAGGCAGGGCAGGAUGGAUAUAGGUCUGUAACAGUUUGGGUCCAGGGUGUCUCCCCUGACUGCUGCAGCUUUCCAAUCUUUGGGGAUCUCAGAUGAUAUGAAAGAGAGGAUUGAAUAACAUGUAUGUCUAAAUAUAUUUUGCAGUGUAGUCAACCUGUUAGGCUUACCUCGAGUAAUUAACUAGGUUACAACUAUUUGGUGAGUGCACUCACUGUUCACCUGGGUACACAAUUUUGAUCCACAGUAUUAACGAUGGCUGGCGCAUAGCGUUAAACAUUUUCUGGUCAUGGUUAACUAUAUUUU
This is a long non-coding RNA of Oncorhynchus keta (chum salmon), 12055 nucleotides long. RefSeq lists it as uncharacterized. The record is from RefSeq and is a predicted model, not a curated record. The transcript has 5 exons. NCBI's taxonomy places the organism in Eukaryota, Metazoa, Chordata, Actinopteri, Salmoniformes, Salmonidae.